UUUCAAACACUUGACCACAGCUCUAAACACAUUUCAACCUUAGCAUCUUUUUCUAGACAGACGGGGCGAAUUCCAAUGAAUCAGAACCAAUGCCCAACUCCGUCCGUCAUCCUUAUGGUUGCAGUAUUAAUAAGCAAGCAACUCCUAUGACUCGCAAGUGAUAGGAAAUCACUCGACUUUUACCGAGUCCUUAUUUAGCAUUGUGGCUACUCGACCUAUCAUACUAGUAUUCAAC
Molecule: long non-coding RNA, 235 nt
Filed under: Setaria italica (foxtail millet)
Lineage: Eukaryota; Viridiplantae; Streptophyta; Magnoliopsida; Poales; Poaceae
Description: long non-coding RNA (SITA_LNC000542)
Source: RNAcentral